Molecule: ribosomal RNA, 451 nt
Filed under: uncultured bacterium
Lineage: Bacteria
Description: partial 16S ribosomal RNA
Rfam family: Bacterial small subunit ribosomal RNA
Source: RNAcentral
GUGGGGAAUAUUGGACAAUGGGGGGAACCCUGAUCCAGCUAUGCCGCGUGUGUGAAGAAGGCCUUUUGGUUGUAAAGCACUUUAAGCGAGGAGGAGGCUACCGAGAUUAAUACUCUUGGAUAGUGGACGUUACUCGCAGAAUAAGCACCGGCUAACUCUGUGCCAGCAGCCGCGGUAAUACAGAGGGUGCAAGCGUUAAUCGGAUUUACUGGGCGUAAAGCGCGCGUAGGUGGCCAAUUAAGUCAAAUGUGAAAUCCCCGAGCUUAACUUGGGAAUUGCAUUCGAUACUGGUUGGCUAGAGUAUGGGAGAGGAUGGUAGAAUUCCAGGUGUAGCGGUGAAAUGCGUAGAGAUCUGGAGGAAGACCGAUGGCGAAGGCAGCCAUCUGGCCUAAUACUGACACUGAGGUGCGAAAGCAUGGGGAGCAAACAGGAUUAGAAACCCUAGUAGUCC